Molecule: ribosomal RNA, 497 nt
Filed under: uncultured bacterium
Lineage: Bacteria
Description: partial 16S ribosomal RNA
Rfam family: Bacterial small subunit ribosomal RNA
Source: RNAcentral
GAUGAACGCUGGCGGCGUGCCUAAUACAUGCAAGUCGAGCGAACGGACGAGAAGCUUGCUUUUCUGAUGUUAGCGGCGGACGGGUGAGUAACACGUGGAUAACCUACCUAUAAGACUGGGAUAACUUCGGGAAACCGGAGCUAAUACCGGAUAAUAUUUUGAACCGCAUGGUUCAAAAGUGAAAGACGGUCUUGCUGUCACUUAUAGAUGGAUCCGCGCUGCAUUAGCUAGUUGGUAAGGUAACGGCUUACCAAGGCAACGAUGCAUAGCCGACCUGAGAGGGUGAUCGGCCCCACUGGAACUGAGACACGGUCCAGACUCCUACGGGAGGCAGCAGUAGGGAAUCUUCCGCAAAGGGCGAAAGCCUGACGGAGCAACGCCGCGUGAGUGAUGAAGGUCUUCGGAUCGUAAAACUCUGUUAUUAGGGAAGAACAUAUGUGUAAGUAACUGUGCACAUCUUGACGGUACCUAAUCAGAAAGCCACGGCUAACUACGUG